Molecule: ribosomal RNA, 484 nt
Filed under: uncultured bacterium
Lineage: Bacteria
Description: partial 16S ribosomal RNA
Rfam family: Bacterial small subunit ribosomal RNA
Source: RNAcentral
AUUGAACGCUGGCGGCAGGCCUAACACAUGCAAGUCGAGCGGAUGAAGGGAGCUUGCUCCUGGAUUCAGCGGCGGACGGGUGAGUAAUGCCUAGGAAUCUGCCUGGUAGUGGGGGAUAACGUCCGGAAACGGGCGCUAAUACCGCAUACGUCCUGAGGGAGAAAGUGGGGGAUCUUCGGACCUCACGCUAUCAGAUGAGCCUAGGUCGGAUUAGCUAGUUGGUGGGGUAAAGGCCUACCAAGGCGACGAUCCGUAACUGGUCUGAGAGGAUGAUCAGUCACACUGGAACUGGGACAGGGUCCAGACUCCUACGGGAGGGAGCAGUGGGGAAUAGUGGACAAUGGGCGAGAGCCUGAUCCAGCCAUGCCGCGUGUGUGAAGAAGGUCUUCGGAUUGUAAAGCACUUUAAGUUGGGAGGAAGGGCAGUAAGUUAAUACCUUGCUGUAUUGACGUUACCAACAGAAUAAGCACCGGCUAACUUCGUG